This is a long non-coding RNA of Cyprinus carpio carpio, 1471 nucleotides long. NCBI's taxonomy places the organism in Eukaryota, Metazoa, Chordata, Actinopteri, Cypriniformes, Cyprinidae. The record is from Ensembl.
CAGCAGUGGGCUUUCAAGUACUGACGGUCACAUUGUGUCUUGAUGAUGUUAUGAAACACCCCGCAUCAGGUGGUGAUUUAUUGAUGGUUUUUCUUGAGCUCAUCGCUUCAUAAGUUAGAGGGAUAGUUAACCGAAUGAACAGAAAUUCAAAUUCAGUCAUUAUUUACUAACCUUCAUGUUUUUUCAAACAUGUAUGACUAACAAGAUUUUUGAGAAAAGUUGUUUUGGAUCCCAUUAACCUUUACUGCUAGUAUAAAAACAGUUCUUCUUCAGAACAUUUUUGGUGGACUUGAGGAAUGACAUGGGGGUGGACACCUCUUUCAAACUCUGUCUCUCUCUUUUUCUCACGUCAUAUGUAAUGACCAGACAAAGGUCUGGUGUUUAUGAGGAAGAGGUAUGGACCCCUAAAUCAGUUUGUUUGCUGGUUUCGCCCGUGGAAAUGACUGCGUGCUGCACAGAGAGGGACCAUUCAGAUGCAGAUUUAAAACAGACUGUGAAACAUCUCUUUCAUCUUUAUUCUGAGGUCAUCCUAGCCAUACAGAUCCAGUCUGUAUCCAGAUCAGAUGGUCAUCGUGGCCACCCAGAUCCAGAUCAAUCGGCCCUGCAUUAAUGCAUUAAUGUUGAGUUUUAUUAUUUUUGUAAAUUGUACUCUAUUCACAGAUUGGAUUUUUAUUUAUUACAGUUUUUCACUUCUGAAAAGUGAAUACAAAUUAUACUUGACUGAUUUACAGCAGUGAAUUAAUGCCAUUAAAAGAUAAUAAGGUAUCACUGUUUAUUGCUGAUUUUAAAGCUUACUGAACUUUAAAUGAUUUGGACAUCUACAGUUCUACAUAUACUGUAAAUGCACAACAUAAGAUUGGCCCCUCUUAGAAUCUCCCCUGGAUACCUGCAAUGCUAUGGCCUUUGUGUAGAUUAGGGGUGCAUGAUAAAUAUCGGCCGAUAAUUAAUGCGCAUGUCGUCAGUAAAGCCAGUUCUCUAAUCAGCGGUAAAUUCCAUCAGGUGCUUGAUUUCACAUAGAGCAGUUGUUACUACACAGAGCCAUUGUUAACUGACAAUCUGCGCAAAUCCACGCUGAAAACUGGCUUUACUGAAGAGAUGCGCAUUAAUUAUCGGCCGAUAUUUAUCAUGCACCCCUAGUGUAGAUAUUUAAAGAUGGCCAUCUUUAAGCAUGACUUGAAAUGAAAUGGUAACACUCCAUUUGUUACGUUAACCACAACAGCUAAAGUCUGUCUACACUGGAUGUGAUAAAGUGACUUUUGCAAAUCAUUUGAAUUUUGUGUCAGUAAAUCACCGCGUCAGAUCCAGUGUAGACAGCAUCACUGAUUUUAAUGGGUUCUAUAGUAUUUUGUUGCAUCGUGCUGUGCCGGAGAAGACACGGUUUAAGACUAUGUUUUUUAAAUAUGCCGCAUAUAUCUAACAAAUCUAAUGUUGUUGUCUCUUAUGCGCAAAAUAGUAACUGUAAUAUUGUGAA